GAGGGUAUAGCUCAGUGGUAGAGUGCUUGCUUAGCAUGCAGGAGGUCCUGGGUUCAAUCCCCAGUACCUCCA
RNAcentral lists this transfer RNA (72 nucleotides) under Camelus bactrianus (Bactrian camel). It matches the Rfam family "tRNA". From Rfam's summary of the family: Transfer RNA (tRNA) molecules are approximately 80 nucleotides in length. Their secondary structure includes four short double-helical elements and three loops (D, anti-codon, and T loops). Further hydrogen bonds mediate the characteristic L-shaped molecular structure. tRNAs have two regions of fundamental functional importance: the anti-codon, which is responsible for specific mRNA codon recognition, and the 3' end, to which the tRNAs corresponding amino acid is attached (by aminoacyl-tRNA synthetases). tRNAs cope with the degeneracy of the genetic code in two manners: having more than one tRNA (with a specific anti-codon) for a particular amino acid; and 'wobble' base-pairing, i.e. permitting non-standard base-pairing at the 3rd anti-codon position. RNAcentral also lists the same sequence under 3 other names. The record is from Rfam by way of RNAcentral. Lineage: Eukaryota; Metazoa; Chordata; Mammalia; Artiodactyla; Camelidae.